CAAUAGCGUAUAUUAAAGUUGUUGCAGUUAAAAAGCUCGUAGUUGGAUUUCUGGUGGGAGCGAUCGGUCUGGCGCUUAGCGCGAGUACUUGCAUCGUCUCCGGCCAUCCUUGGGGAAAGUCUGUCUGGCAUUAAGUUGUCGGGCAGAGGAUCCUCAUCGUUUACUGUGAAAAAAUUAGAGUGUUCAAAGCAGGCUUAUGCCGUUGAAUAUAUUAGCAUGGAAUAAUAAGAUAGGACUUUGGUACUAUUUUGUUGGUUUGCGCACCAAAGUAAUGAUUAAUAGGGACAGUUGGGGGUAUUCGUAUUCCGUUGUCAGAGGUGAAAUUCUUGGAUUUACGGAAGACGAACUACUGCGAAAGCAUUGACCAAGGAUGUUUUCAUUAA
Molecule: ribosomal RNA, 383 nt
Filed under: uncultured eukaryote
Lineage: Eukaryota
Description: partial 18S ribosomal RNA
Rfam family: Eukaryotic small subunit ribosomal RNA
Source: RNAcentral